GGCGCAGACACAAAGGCAAACAAUCCCAAACACAGGCUUUGCCCUCCUUGUACGUUGAGACAAAGGAAGCAGAAAUGAGCCUGGGAUCACAGUCUGCGCUGAGCAGCAUGGAGCAAACAGGGCGUCCCCUUCUCAGUGACAGAGGGACUUGGGCUGACCAACCGUCUUGGCUUCCCUGGGACUGUCCCAGCUCAGCACUGAAAAUCUCAUGCCGAUGAAAACCCCCGCAGGCCUGGGCAGAUGGGAACCUUGGUCACUCUUGCAGAAACUUGAGUCAGAAAUAAAGCAACUUCUCCCAGGCCAUGUGGAAAAGCCAUGUGUGAACCAGAGGAACAAGUACAACAGAGCCGCUGAGUACACCCCAACACAGAGGAGCCAGCGCUCACCGAGAGAUUUGCCAAGUGGAGUCCUUUUGAGACAUCCAAAUUUCACUGUCUUCAACUUAUUAAUGUGAAACAAAGAAUAACGUAUAUGUGUGUGUAAACACGAAUAGUAACAGCUUAUAUUUGUAAACAAUGUGCCGUGCGCCCAGCACUACAUUAAGCAGUCUCCAUGCAGCACCUCCAUUAAUCCUGGGGAGCACUGUACCCACUUCAAGAGGCCUUUAGAAGAGCAAGUAACAAAAACUGGUGGAAAAAAAGCACACAUUCAACAGGAAGCAACAUCUAGAGACCUUUCUGCCUUCCAGGAUACAAAAAGAAAACAGUUCAUAAACAACUUACAUCUAAACCAGUAAUGUUGUCUCCCUGGCUCAUAGGAGCUGAAGAAGAAUUCCAGUUACUGUAGUAAGAAUAUAAGGAUGUGGACUGGUUUGAGGAUGCUUGAGGCAUGACUAUAGCAAGUACUGCGCAUACAUAUGUGGACAUCGUAAGACACACUCUCUGCUUCCCCAGGCGAAAUCUGUAAUGCUUUGUUUAUUCAUGUUCUAUUCUGCGUUUCCAUGGCACUUUGUUCUUUGUGGUUUUUAGGGUAUCUUUCUCCCUCUCUGCUCAGUGAACUGAGCUGCCUGGACAGGCCUUGAGUUUUCUUAUUCGAUUGUUUUUUGUGUGUGUAUGUUUUGCCUUAGCUCCCUCACUAGUAUAGUCAAGGAGCUUUUCAUGCUUUGAGCCAUUUGUGGCAUUUCAGGAAUUACCUUCAUAGCUUUUGUCCAUUUUCUACUGGCUUGUCUUUUUCAAUGUUUUUAUAGGCAUUUUUUAAAAAACACAGUGUGGAUGUCAUUUGGGAUAGCAGUACUAAUAGUAGCUAAAACUUACUGAAAGCUACUGUGUGCCAGGCAGUCUGCUGAGCACUUUACAUGCUGCCUUUCAUUUUUACACUCAUUUAGGAAACUGAGUCACAGAGAGGCGAGAUAACUUGCCAGAGAUUCAAGCACACUCCAGACACAUCCCUACACCAAUCAGACCUCCUAGCCACCCAGAAACUCUCCUCUGCUCGGAGGCUUCUCUGCUUCCUCCACCUGCCCCUUCGCCUCACUGCCUCCUUUCAAAAUCUGCGGCAUGUAUUUUAGGGAUACUCGUAUCCAUUUUCAGGAAUUCCAUGAUCUACACACAGAUGACACCAAAAUCGGAACAGCAAUGUCCACCCUUCUCCCGAGCCCUAGGUCGGUGCCUCUGUCCACCUGUGUCUCCUGAAACUUCAACACAGACUUCAAAUGGAGUGGCAGAAAACCAGAUUCCUUAGGGAAAGGAAGGUCUCCCAGACGGCAGGAGCGGCAGGCCUUAGGGGCAGCCGCAGGGGCUCGGGAGUCUGAACAUACCCGGUUUGAAUUCAGACUCUGGCACGCCCCAUGCGAUCAUAACAUAGUGCUGCACGUCUCAAGCCACCUAUAAAAACGGGGACAAUAACAAUAUCUGCCUCGGGGUUAAUGGAUUAGAUGUGUCGGUCCAUAGACGUUGCUGGCCACAUAGUUAAGUGGUGCGUUCACUCACUGGGCAUUGAUGGAGCGCCUACUACGUGCCAGGCCUGUUUUACGCGCCGGGGGCCCAGAGGCGCCCAGCCGGACUGCCUUCCCUGUUGUUAGUUUGUAACUUUCGCUCCGGCCCCCGCAGCCUCGCGCCUGCCUUCCCUCCACUGUCCUCAGCCAAGGUGUAGUAAAGCGUCUCCGAACGCGGCGCGACCCUCGCCCACGCCCGCUCGCGGGGGGA
Molecule: long non-coding RNA, 2144 nt
Filed under: Homo sapiens (human)
Lineage: Eukaryota; Metazoa; Chordata; Mammalia; Primates; Hominidae
Description: HSALNT0309564
Source: RNAcentral